Molecule: ribosomal RNA, 234 nt
Filed under: uncultured bacterium
Lineage: Bacteria
Description: partial 16S ribosomal RNA
Source: RNAcentral
CUGCUGCCUCCCGUAGGAGUCUGGGCCGUGUCUCAGUCCCAAUGUGGCCGUUCAACCUCUCAGUCCGGCUACUGAUCGUCGCUUUGGUGGGCCAUUACCCCGCCAACUGGCUAAUCAGACGCGAGCUCAUCUUUGGACGAUAAAUCUUUGGCAGCAAAAUCAUGCGGUCUCGCUGCAUCAUGCGGUAUUAGCAGUCGUUUCCGGCUGUUAUCCCCCAUCCAAAGGCAGAUUGCU